UCUUCAGCAAAAGGAUUAGGCGCUGUAUACGGUUUAUCUAAAGAUGCUCAUACGCUGCUGGAGAACGGCAAUACAAUUCAAUGCACCAACGCAAGACUCUGGGUGGUACCGCCUUGCAUUUGGAGGAACAUCAGCGUUCUUUGCUUGCUCCUCCAAAAAUAACUGUUUCCAUUUAUUCUGAACAAGCAAAUCAAGGUCUAACUAAGUGACUGAUAUUCAAGUUUUGACUAUAAGUUAAUACCCUGUGUACUUUUGUGUUGCCUGGUAACUUUCCUUUGAGCAUUCUUCACAUUUGGCUUUUCCAUCAAUAGCUAAAAUUGGCAGCAACUUUUUAGUUGCAAAAUAAACUCUAUCAUGUUGGCAUAUAUUUACCAAUGAUUUCACAUUUGUCGGGCCUAUAAAUAUUAUUAGGUAUUAUUUUUCCACUGUGUCACUGUAAAAUUGGAUGUGAAUGUAAACCCUGAACUGCCUCAGUACAACCAACACCCUCACACAUUACAAUUCCUUUUGCACUUUCUGCAAAUAAUGGCUGUUACAAAUCAUUUUUCAAGUGUUAUAUGUAUUCUGGUUACUUAAAAUCCUGAACAAUGUUGAAUGUUUGGGGUCGUCAAUAAUAUUGCAAUCCGGGCAAAUCCAUCCAUACACAGAAAUCACUUGCACUUUCAUUGUAUUAUCUACUUUCAUUGUAUUAUCUAUUUCAAGUCUAUUUUGGGAUACAAUUAUUGGACUAAUAAAUCUAGUGUGGACUAAACUAUAAAAAUUCCCUACCUGACUUUUGGAACCAAAUGGUUGUCCCCUUUCAUCUCACAAACAAACCUAUCUUUUGAACAAUGAAAUAUCCAUUUAUCUGCAUUAAUGUUUACUCAAUUUAAUUAUCCUCAUUCACCCAUUCACUUUUAUAUUUUGGCUGAUUUAAUUUUUACCUUUCAUUUCAAUGCUAAGUCUUUUGGAUGAUUGUUUAAGUUCCUCAAUACUGCUGUGAAUUAUUUUUUGCUGAACUACUCUUCUAGCUGGUGACUUUAUUUUGUGUGUCACAUUAAUUUUUUUGGUAACUCAAGACAUGGCCUGGCUCCCAUUUUUAAAAUCUUUUUUUUCCCAACUUCUACUAUGUCUUCUACUCAAAAAUGGGCCCUUCAAGGCAAUAAAAGCUUGAUUACUAAACUGAUGUAUAUCAGUUAAAUAUAUCGUGUAUUGUGAAAUUGUCAUUAUUAAUACGGCAUGUUGAUACUGUACAAAGUACUACAAACUCUAGAAAACAAUUUGCAAAGAAGGAAACAACAGCAAAUAGGGUAAUUCAGAAAGAUAAGGGUAACCCAGCAACAUACGUUUCUUUGUGAAGCAUUUUUUUAAUGACAUCCGCUGCGUUGGCACCCCGCAUUCCCAACAGAAAAUUCGUGAGGUACUGUCGGUGUUCGCGUUCAAUUUUAGAUUUUGCUAACUCCGGACGACGCACACCAAAAAUUGUUUUACAUUUAAUACUUUUAGCCUUCGCUAAUUUCAUUGACCAGUUGCAACCUGGCACUGCGCAAUGCGUAACUCCCAUUUUUUACAAAAUUUCGGAU
Non-coding RNA from Ciona intestinalis (vase tunicate), 1562 nucleotides. Lineage: Eukaryota; Metazoa; Chordata; Ascidiacea; Phlebobranchia; Cionidae. The record is from RefSeq and is a predicted model, not a curated record.